GGUGAACGCUGGCGGCGUGCCUAAUACAUGCGAGUCGAGCGAACAGACGAGGAGCUUGCUCCUCUGACGUUAGCGGCGGACGGGUGAGUAACACGUGGAUAACCUACCUAUAAGACUGGGAUAACUUCGGGAAACCGGAGCUAAUACCGGAUAAUAUAUUGAACCGCAUGGUUCAAUAGUGAAAGACGGUUUUGCUGUCACUUAUAGAUGGAUCCGCGCCGCAUUAGCUAGUUGGUAAGGUAACGGCUUACCAAGGCAACGAUGCGUAGCCGACCUGAGAGGGUGAUCGGCCACACUGGAACUGAGACACGGUCCAGACUCCUACGGGAGGCAGCAGUAGGGAAUCUUCCGCAAUGGGCGAAAGCUUGACGGAGCAACGCCGCGUGAGUGAUGAAGGUCUUCGGAUCGUAAAACUCUGUUAUUAGGGAAGAACAAAUGUGUAAGUAACUAUGCACGUCUUGACGGUACCUAAUCAGAAAGCCACGGCUAACUACGUG
RNAcentral lists this ribosomal RNA (497 nucleotides) under uncultured bacterium. RNAcentral's name for it is "partial 16S ribosomal RNA". It matches the Rfam family "Bacterial small subunit ribosomal RNA", at positions 28 to 507 of the family's 1533-position model. The record is from RNAcentral.